UUCAUCAUCAUCGCCA
RNAcentral lists this small RNA (16 nucleotides) under Arabidopsis thaliana (thale cress). RNAcentral's name for it is "ATSL286680". Lineage: Eukaryota; Viridiplantae; Streptophyta; Magnoliopsida; Brassicales; Brassicaceae. The record is from RNAcentral.